RNAcentral lists this unclassified non-coding RNA (250 nucleotides) under plant metagenome. RNAcentral's name for it is "partial contains small subunit ribosomal RNA and internal transcribed spacer 1". The stretch from base 1 to 46 matches the Rfam family "Eukaryotic small subunit ribosomal RNA", at positions 1786 to 1831 of the family's 1831-position model. The record is from RNAcentral.
AAGUCGUAACAAGGUUUCCGUAGGUGAACCUGCGGAAGGAUCAUUAGAAUGAGGAGCCGGACCAUGUCGUGGGCGAAAGCCCAAACGUGCCAGUAAGCGCCCGUAAACCUCCACCCUUGGUGUAUUAUUCUUUGUUGCUUUGGUGGGGCCGCAAGCCUUCGGGCGAGCACCGGCUUCGGCUGGCAGAGUGCCUGCCAGAGGACCCAACUCUGUAAUUUAGUGAUGUCUGAGUACUAUUAAAUAGUUAAAA